AAUGAGGAGCCUGAGGAAAGGAUUAUUUUGAUAGAAUAAAACACGUGUAGUACACCCUCAUUA
Molecule: transfer RNA, 63 nt
Filed under: Trogoderma granarium
Lineage: Eukaryota; Metazoa; Arthropoda; Insecta; Coleoptera; Dermestidae
Description: tRNA-Ile
Source: RNAcentral